CCACCCCUCCCCCGCCGCCACCCACCUCCACCACCCACCCCUCUCCUCGCCGCGCCACCCACAUCCCGUCCCCACCCCAGAUCCUCUCCCCACUCCCAGAUCCAACUUGCCACCGUAGAACGAGGAGAUCGCGGCCAAGAUCUUCGGGACGCGGUGGUCGUCGUCGCGGACCGCUCCUCCGCCGACCCGCGCAAGUUCCCCGGUGCUAAGGUACCUCGAGGAGUUCGCGCGGCGGUUCGACCCCCUCGGGCUGGUCCGGUUCGGGACGGAGGUGGUGAGCGUCCACCGCAGCAGGGACGACGACGCGGGCUGGAGGGUGAGGCUCGCCUGCGCUGGCAGCGAGUUGGAGGAGGAGGUUUGACGCCGUGGUCGUCUGCAGUGGGCACUUCGCCGAGCCGUGCGUGGCCGCCAUCACAGGUUAGUGAGCAGCAUCAGGAGGAGGAGCUUCCUCACUCCGCCCCGGAUCUGCGGCUGCCCCACGCUGGCCAUGGACUCCGUCCUAGGGUUUCCGCCGCCGCCGCCGGAGAGGGGAGGGGAGGAGUGUAGAAGGACCAGAGCGAGAUGGCCGGACGGCUCCUCGGGCAGCUCCUCGUCAUGGGCAGCGCCGUCGUCGGCAGGGCCGUGGUGCAGGCCUACCGCCAGACCAUCGUCAGAUAUGCAGGGAGGUCGGCCCUUGUCCAGGGGAAGAUCAGCACCAUGACGGUGAAAGACAACCUCUUGGUGGCUGGUGGUUUCCAUGGGGAGCUGAUCUGCAAUGUAUCCCACCGCUGAUCCAUAUCCAGAUCAGCUGCGUCGCCGGUUCAGUCGUCUCCGACCGCACUCCCCCGUCUGCGCCGUCGAGCCGGGCCUGCUCACCUCCUUCUUGAUGGUCGCGCGCCGAGAGAGCCCUCUGCUGGCAGUGACGCAGCCGUGUCUGGUGCCGUACAAGGGACGCCGGCGCAGGAUGCUAUCGCCGUCCGUUCCUAACGCCGCUGAGUUGAGCUGCAGGUGUUCCUUGAUGCUACAUAUGUCAGUUUCUUUUGGCAUGAUGUACAUCUGGUGGUCGUCAAGUCAAGGAACCUCCUCUUCUUGCUACGGCAGUCCUCCUCCCGCUGCUCUGCUCUGCUCAAUAGCUAGCGUCCAUGGCUAAAACAAAGGGCGACUAGUGAUGCGGCACAGCAAGCAGUAGCAGGCACCCGAAGCAGCAGCAGCAGGGGGAGGGGGUCUCUCGAACGUCGCUACUGUCACUGAUUGAUGAUGGAUGAUCUCUCUCCCUCUCUUGCAAGCGUCUAUAAAUGCUGGUAGAAAUAGAAAUGGUAGCUCUAGUCCCAUGUUGUUGUAGUCUCAUGUAGUUCCUUUUCUCGGACCGCCCUUUGUUGCUUCAUUUCUAUGUUAAUUCAGUCUUUGUCGAAUGUAUCUACUAUCUAUUAUCGUGGCUGUGUAAUGAAUCCUUUUGUGUUGAAUGAAAUAAAAUGGUUUGGAUA
This is a non-coding RNA of Aegilops tauschii subsp. strangulata, 1463 nucleotides long. NCBI's taxonomy places the organism in Eukaryota, Viridiplantae, Streptophyta, Magnoliopsida, Poales, Poaceae. The record is from RefSeq and is a predicted model, not a curated record.